GUACCCCCCCCAAAGGCCCGGCCACCGGAUGGGCCAACACAAACCCCAGCCCAAGGGGGGGUGGCGAGGCAGCACAGAACCCCCACCGGUACAAACCCACCGAGGGGGCGGAACAGCCGAGACUAACCAGGGCAGCGGAGCCGUUGGGACAGGCCGGGGAGGCGGAGCCGGCGGAGGGUUGACAGCCGGGAGAGCCGACGGAGGGUCGGGAGCCGGGAGAGCCGACGGAGGGUCGGGAGCCGGGAGAGCCGACGGAGGGUCGGGAGCCGGGAGAGCCGACGGAGCGGCCGGGCCAGUAGAGGACCCCUUGGCGACCGGGACUGGAGAGGGCACCGAGGCGGCCGGGACUGGAGAGGGCGCCGAGGCGGCCGGGCCGGUAGAGCAAGCUCUGGCGGUGCAGGCCACUCCUCUUCGGGCUCAGGCGGCUGAGGCCACUCCUGGCAGGGUUGGGUAUGACAAUCUUCAUGAAGACAGACACUACAGCUAUGUUUACAACCAUGAUCACCACGGGUGUUGAAACCGGUAUAGCACCAGUCACAGACAUAAGACACACCCAGAAAACCCUUCAGAUUCAUGAUGCCAUAGAAAUGGUUAUCGUCUCGGAGGAACUGCUGUGCGAGGACUGGGCCUAUGAGUGCUUUUAGAUGGAGGAGGGGCCCACGGUGGCACCUGCUGCUCGUUGAGAAGAUAUGCACCAUACCAAGAUGACGGAGACGGAUUCGAGCCAUCGUGCACAUAGAACAAGAAUGAUAUGCGAGUACUACAGAAUGUGUCGUGUUUCUCCAUCCGAUUGGGUACCCAAUAGAACAACGGAGUGGUGGGAAACUGUGGUUCCAACUUUCACCGUAUGUUUCCGUAUGUCUAAGGACACAUUUCUGUGCAUGUGCCGUCGAUUGCAACCAGAACUGGGGAGACAUUACACAAAAUACAGUUGUUGUGUACCCAUUCAAAAAAGAAUCACCAUUGCACUGUGGAAACCUGCAACCAACUCAGAGUACAGGAGCAUCUCUCAUUUGUUUGGAGUCGGCAUUACUACGGUAUGUCACUGUGUACACGAUUUCUGCUCCUCUGUAGAGAAUGUACUCAUGGCCGAAGUUAUUCAGUGACCAAACAGUGAGAAGUUAAAGGAAAUGGCGACAUAUUUUGAGCGCAGAUGGGGGUUGCCACAGUGUGUUGGUGCAAUUGAUGGAACACACAUCCCCAUUCUGGGACCAGAGGAAUACCACACUGAGUAUUCCAACCGCAAGGGCUGGCAUUUGAUCAUCCUGCAGGCUGUUGUGGAUGGAAGAGGUCUCUUUUGCAAUGUUUUUACUGGAGCAGCAGGGAGCCUGCAUCAUGCCAGAGUGCUGCACUUGUCAGGGUUGUGGGGUCUAGUGAAUAUGGGUUUGCUGCUCCCUGAUGAAACAAAGAUAAUGUGUGGACAUGAUGUGGGGUACUAUGUCCUUGGUGACACAGCCUAUCCUUUGAAAAGCUGGUUGAUGAAACCUUUCACAGACUAUGGACGGUUGAAAUCCCAAACAGAGCCCGGGUGGUGGUUGAGAACACUUUUGGCAGACUGAAGGGCAGAUGGAGGUGCUUGUUAAAACGAAAUGACUGCAACAUACACAAGAUGAAAUCCAUGGUGAUCGCAUGUUGUGUUCUGCAUAACCUCUGUGAAAUAAAUGGUGAUGAGUAGCGAGAAGAAUGGGGUGUCUCUGGAUUAAACCAGCCUGCUGGGGCACUGCCAUCCACUGUAGAGGCCGAGGGGCUAAUGAGGUUUCUCAACACAUUGUGAAGUGUCAGAUUACUGCUUAGAGCAGUGGUUCCCAACCAGGGGUACUAGGACCCCUGGGGGUACUUGGCCUCUCCACAGGGGGUACUUCAUAACACUCAUGACACCAUAGGCUUACUAGUGAAAUUAACAUGAGGGGGUAUUGAAAGCAGUGCAAAAACAUUUUGGGGUUACAGUAACUGAAAAGGGUUUUGGGAGACACUGGCUUAGAGAGCUGAAGAUGUCAGUUACAAAAACAUAUUUAUUUCAAAAACUUCUGAUUUCCAUUUCUAAUGUCAAGUAAAUGGUUUAAAUAAUCAAUUAUUAACUGUGUGCUG
This is a long non-coding RNA of Esox lucius (northern pike), 2088 nucleotides long. The record is from Ensembl. NCBI's taxonomy places the organism in Eukaryota, Metazoa, Chordata, Actinopteri, Esociformes, Esocidae.